Molecule: transfer RNA, 85 nt
Filed under: Escherichia coli
Lineage: Bacteria; Pseudomonadati; Pseudomonadota; Gammaproteobacteria; Enterobacterales; Enterobacteriaceae
Also listed under: 6 other names
Description: tRNA-Tyr
Rfam family: tRNA
About the family: Transfer RNA (tRNA) molecules are approximately 80 nucleotides in length. Their secondary structure includes four short double-helical elements and three loops (D, anti-codon, and T loops).
Source: RNAcentral
GGUGGGGUUCCCGAGCGGCCAAAGGGAGCAGGCUGUAAAUCUGCCGUCAUCGACUUCGAAGGUUCGAAUCCUUCCCCCACCACCA